Molecule: ribosomal RNA, 531 nt
Filed under: Triticum aestivum (bread wheat)
Lineage: Eukaryota; Viridiplantae; Streptophyta; Magnoliopsida; Poales; Poaceae
Description: partial small subunit ribosomal RNA
Source: RNAcentral
AUGUCUGGGAGAAAUGCAACAUCGGCAUUGCAGGAGGAGAAUGUCCUUAAGAGAAAGUCAUAUGAUGUGGGAUGGGACUAUGGGAGUCUAGCGGAUGCUUCCAACAAGGAUAAAGUGAAGUGUAUUUUCUGUAACCAUGUGAGCACUGGAGGUGUUUAUCGUCACAAGUAGCAUGUGGCUCAUGUUGGUAAUGCUGUGGUCAAAUGUAAAAAAAGCUCGCAGGAAGCUAAAGAUAGGUGCAAGAAAUCUCUUGAAGAGGCAUCUAAUAAGAGGCGGGAAGAGACUGCCCGUGAGAAAGAGCUCAGACAAAUUGUGAACAUUUCUCGCGUUGGAGAUGACGAAGCCGCUUGUAUCGGAAGUGCGGAGCCACACAAGUUAGGUCCCAUUGACAAGUGGACACGGCCUAUUGAUCCUAAACUGACUCAAGCUGAAGCCUUUCAUCAACAGAAGAUAAACAAGGAACUUUGGAAAAAGAGAACACAUGAAGUGCAGUAGUAUGUGGCUAGAUGGGUGUACAAUCAUGGUAAUUAA